Pseudophryne corroboree (corroboree frog) is the source of this 866-nucleotide long non-coding RNA. RefSeq lists it as uncharacterized. Lineage: Eukaryota; Metazoa; Chordata; Amphibia; Anura; Myobatrachidae. The record is from RefSeq and is a predicted model, not a curated record. The transcript is spliced from 4 exons.
GUAUUGGCAUGCUUGGGUCAACAGCUGUCAGUUGCAGUGUGAUGGAUGGCUGUUGGUCUGGGCCCUGCUGGUCCACGGCGGACAUCAAGUUGUGCUCUGUAUGGGAUAACUGAGGUGAUCUGGGCUCAUCACUCUGCGAACUCGCCAAUAGUGCCAGUGGUGGCUGGGGUGACACUGCCGAAAGUCUUCGCCUGGGUGGGGAUGACGGAGGUGCUGAAUCCGACCCAAGACGCCGUGUCUUAGUAGGCCUCCUGGAAUAUGUGACUACAGUGAAGACUUACCUGCAAUCCCAGCCUCAUCCUGACUUGUCUGAGGCCUGUCUGGGCGGCUGGUCUGUGUGACUGUGGAAAAAGUGACCCCAAUGACCCACUGAAAACCAUUAAUGUACUGUAAGCAUCUAUUAGAGUCACGAUUCCAGGCCAAUGACCUGGAAAGCAGGCAGACACUCAGUGCCAGCUUCCAGUGUAGACAGGAAGGAAGUAGAACAGACAGGGGACACAGACUACCCCAAACUCUUGCAGUCCUCCUGUAAAACAUCUCGUAACUCAUUACUAAUCUAUUGGAUUUUGAUACAGCCUGAAAAUGAAGUUACAGUAGUUAAAUAACACAUCGAACAGUGUUUUGUUUUUACCAAGAUUUUUAAUUAAAUUCGGAUUACUGCAACUAAACACAAAGACACAGGUAUUAGUGUAAAUGGCAGAUAAUGGAAUACAAAUGAAGUGACAACCAAAAACCCUCACUGCUGAACUGCACUUUGUAUGCUGAACACAAUACAAAAAGUGUUAUGUAGUAACUGUAUUCACAACCCGGACAUCUACACUACUUUAUUUGAAGAGAACCAACACUACACUUUACAGGGGAAAAAA